Molecule: non-coding RNA, 73 nt
Organism: Bactrocera oleae (olive fruit fly)
Lineage: Eukaryota; Metazoa; Arthropoda; Insecta; Diptera; Tephritidae
Source: the annotation of a RefSeq genome assembly
GUUUCCGUAGUGUAGUGGUUAUCACGUGUGCUUCACACGCACAAGGUCGCCGGUUCGAACCCGGCCGGAAACA